This 389-nucleotide ribosomal RNA is filed under the name Chrysochromulina sp. RNAcentral describes it as "partial small subunit ribosomal RNA". It matches the Rfam family "Eukaryotic small subunit ribosomal RNA", at positions 582 to 975 of the family's 1831-position model. Lineage: Eukaryota; Haptophyta; Prymnesiales; Chrysochromulinaceae. The record is from RNAcentral.
AUUCCAGCUCCAAUAGCGUAUAUUAAAGUUGUUGCAGUUAGAACGCUCGUAGUCGGAUUUCGGGGCAGUCCGACCGGUCUGCCGAUGGGUAUGCACUGGCCGGAGUGUCCUUUUUGCCGGAGACCGUGCCUACUCUUAACUGAGCGGGGGCGGGAGACGGCACUUUUACUUUGAAAAAAUCAGAGUGUUUCAAGCAGGCAGCUCGCUCUUGCAUGGAUUAGCAUGGGAUAAUGAAAUAGGACUUUGGUGCUAUUUUGUUGGUUUCGAACACCGAAGUAAUGAUGAGAAGGGACAGUCAGGGGCACUCGUAUUCCGCAGAGAGAGGUGAUAUUCUCAGACCCGCGGAAGACGAACCACUGCGAAAGCAUUUGCCAGGGAUGUUUUCAUUA